This 362-nucleotide long non-coding RNA is filed under the name Gallus gallus (chicken). The record is from RNAcentral. Lineage: Eukaryota; Metazoa; Chordata; Aves; Galliformes; Phasianidae.
CUUUUGGUUGUCUCCAUGUGUCUUUGUAGGAAACAGACCUGUGGUUGGGCUUUGAUGAAGCAGCAGUGUAGACUUCACAAUUCUGUAGUAAUGGUCUAAUUUAUCCCACAAACUUUCCCCCUCGGGUUUAGGAAGGUUAAUACUUUUAAGUGGCUCAUAAAUUGAACCUGAACGUUUGGUGCGAGCCCGCAACUCCAGCAUCUUCCAGCUGACGUCGGCCAUAUGGGCCGCCGCCGCCGCGGCCACCGCCGCCAUCCCGACGAGCUGCCUCCGCUCCCGCCGCUCCGCUCGCACCGGGACGCUGCCGUCCCCUCGGCGCCGCGGCGGCGAUCUCCGCCCGGUUACCACCGCCGGCCGUAAGC